UUGGCUCGACUCGGCCGAGGUGCCCAGUCCUCCUUUUUCCAUUGCAGAUUAGUUAGUUAGAGUAGUACCGCCUCAUGCGUGGGGCGAGCAUGACUGGUUGUCAUAGCAGGAAACUGUAGUGACCUAACGCGACACACAGAACGUGGAAGGUGUGUUCCUUUUGACUCUCGGCCUGUGGCUGUUGUCAGAAGACACAUUUAGUGACGUUGGGUUAGCAUUGCUAGCGUUAGCUAACUCCUUCACCACUAACGGAGCAACCCGGAACAUCAAACUUUUCCCGAACCCUGUGGGGGGGAGGACCACAACAUCACGGCCACCAUCAAAACUCAGCAAAGAUUGUUCUUCUCGGGCUUUAACUUCUUGAUGUUCUGCAGCGUUGCCACAGCGAACCAGAUGGCUUCGCUCGCAUCUUUCUCCGCCGCCAUGAUGGCUGGCGCACAACCUCAACGUCAUCGUUCUCAGCCACUCCCUCCGUUCGCUGACUGGACCGGUAAAGAUUGGCCGGAGAAAACCCAAGAAUAUCCCUCCAACCCAGACGGAGUACUGAAGGAAAAUGAAAAUUGAGCGGAGAGACUGAAGAAGGUGGAAGAAAGAGAGAGAGGAAGAGCUAUCCUGCCAAAGAGCCUGGAGUGAAAACACUCUGGUUGUGGGAACAGUCUACACAACAAGCCCGACAGAAACCAACACCGACCCAACAGACACCAUCUCAACUUGCAGCUGGUUGGAGGCUUGCUGCCUGUUGAUGGUGUCACACUAAUCUCCUGCUGUUGCUAUGGAAUCAGGAUACCUUAGCGACCGCGUUCAAACCUGAGAACCCACCCAUCUGGCCGUCUCAAGACUUCUGAGGCGGGAUGUUAAACUGAAAGUGAUACGUCGAGGUCAGCUGCUGUACUUCUGGAGAGCCGCUGUGUGUCUGGAUCAGAUUCCAGAU
Long non-coding RNA from Etheostoma spectabile (orangethroat darter), 931 nucleotides. RefSeq lists it as uncharacterized. NCBI's taxonomy places the organism in Eukaryota, Metazoa, Chordata, Actinopteri, Perciformes, Percidae. The record is from RefSeq and is a predicted model, not a curated record. The transcript is spliced from 3 exons.